Molecule: non-coding RNA, 4218 nt
Organism: Chlorocebus sabaeus (green monkey)
Lineage: Eukaryota; Metazoa; Chordata; Mammalia; Primates; Cercopithecidae
Source: RefSeq, a predicted model, not a curated record
UCCAUGUCCCUCUUCAUUAUAUUUGCUUGGCUAAAUUCCAAAUUUGAUUAUUUCCCAUUUUUGCUGCUUUGGCCUAUGAAGUCAGUCCAGCUAGAAGUGGCUGGAAACAUAAAAAACCAUGCUGGCGUGUCUUUCUUUAAAUUCAACUCUUGACCUCAAGGAGGUCCAUAAAACUGCCUGACAACCAUACUGUAUUUCUCUAGUACAUUCACCCUCCCACUCUACUAGAUGAUUAUUUCGCACCUUCUUCUUUCUCCUCACACAUCCAACACCUCUGCCCCCACUCACAGCAGACAACCUUGCUUCUUACUUUCCUGGCAAAACUGGAGCAAUCAGAAGAGAACUUCCACAAACUCCCACUUCCUCAAUCUACCCACCUUCCACCAUCUGCACCCAUAUAUUCUGCCUUCCUGCUGUUACUAAAGAUGAACCUAUGCUCCUCUUUCAAGCCAAUCUUUCCCUCACGUAAUUAAGAACACCUGACGGUCUCAGUGAAGGAAUAAAAAUACAUAAAUCCCACAAGAAACAAGAGAACACAGAAGCAAACCAUAGAUAAGAAGAAAAUUUGGCAAGUUUGAAAGAUCUCAUUUAUGUCAAGUCCAAAUACCAGAUGGAGGAGUAGUGACUGACUGCAGAGUGGAGUAAGCCCAGCCCACAUGCCCACAGCAGAAAGCCUACGAGAUUAAGAACAAACCCUGUCCAAUAUUCAAGACCUUCCUGGGUCCGGUCCCGGAUUCACUUCUCAGCUACCUUUCCCAUGAUGCUGCAUCUCUCACUUCCAGACAGGAAAAACAAGAGCUGUGAACUCCCAGGCAAUUCCCUUGAACUCAAGCUGGAAUCAGUGGCUCACCCUUAUAAAUUGGAACACACAUAUUUAGGACCAGCAUCCUCUAGAAGACUGGAGUCAAGGGCACUAGCAUCUUUCUGCUUCAACUUCAGGAAAAACAAUCUUUUUCCUUAAUUUCUAUUUGGAAAAUCCCAAAAGGAUCCUGAAUGACCACAUUUACAUAAUCUGCCCAUCCCUGGAAGAGCUGGGUAAGGCAAUAGUUCCCAAAAAGAAGUAGGGAAUGCUGUCAGCAGGAGAAGGGAGGGGUUCUAGAGAGACAAAACAAAAAGUAUACAUUACUGUAAUUAUCACAUACUAGCCCAACUAACAACAAAGUCCUUCUGUAUUACUUUGUUCCCUCUGCUUAAAACCUUCAGUAACUUUAUGAAGGCAAUGUGACCGGGCUGAGUCAAGAUUUCUGGAAUUUCUGGAAUCCUGAAGUUAAAAUCAAUAUUUCACCUGUGCUUCUAGUGCAGGUCAAGAAAUGAGUAUAAACUUUAGAAUGUGUAAGACGGUUUGGAACGCUUAUGAUGCAUAUGCUUUUUAAAAAAAAAAUAACAAAAAGGUGACAAAAUCUGAUUAUCAAAUUAAUUAGGACUCUUUUUGUUGUCAAUUAAAAGAGAAAAAAUAUAGACUCGCUGAAGCCAAAAUAAAGCUAUGGGCUCACAUAACUGAAAACUCCAGGGAUAAUUUCACUGCAGACACAAUUAGGUGCUGGGGCUCAGUGUUCUCAGAAUCCAGUCUCCUUGUUGCCGUCUCUUGUCUUUGUGUUCCUCUGUCUUGGCUCCUUUCACAGAUAGAUUGUACCCCCAUUCUGACUAUAUGGCUGCCUACAGCUCCAGGCUUCCACUCUAUCCUCUUACCGAUCCACAGUGGAAAUAACUUGCAUCUUUUCCUAAAGUUCCAAUAAAAGUCCUAGAAUUGGGUCUAAUUGCUUUUGAUGAUCUUGGCUUGGGCUAUGUCUCUGGCAGGCGUGGAGUCAACCCCACUGAAAUCACAUGAACUCAGAGAAGGAACCUGCAAUUCCCUCUGUUGAGUCAGGGUGCUUUUACUAGAGAAAGGGCAAGUGAUCCCUAGGAUCCCUAGGAUCAAUCUCUGAUACUCAGAUAAUUUGGGAACAAACAAACAAACUAUAAUUCCCCCCAUCCAAAUAUAACUAUUGUUAGUAUUUUGGCAAUAUACUUACAUUAUUUUUCAUAUGUAUGUUUUACAUGAUUAUAAUUAUAGUCUACUUAAAAUUUUCUCCUGAAUUGCCUAACAUUCUAUCAUAUACACUUUUCAUGUCUCUCUAUAAUUUUCCAACCAUAAUUUUAAUGGUUACACAUAAAAUAACUGUAAUUUACUCCCAUGGACACCAAGGCAGCUUCCUUUCCUUUAAAAGCUAUAAAUAAAGCUGCGAUAAGCAUCAUCAUGCAUACAGCUUUUUCUGUUGCUUAGAUGAUCUUAGAGUAGUUGAAUUUUCAAAAAGUUGAAUUACUCAAUUAAAAGGUACAUAUAUUUAUGACUUUCCAAAUUUUUCCCCUUUUCCAAAAAGGAUAAUGCUUAUUCAUAAUGCUAUCACAAUAUAUAAGUAGUAAUCAUAUCUAAAACGUUAAGUCCAAGAACACUGAAAUGUUAAACUGAAGAAGGUAGUAAAUGUCUCUGAGAGUAAUAAAAAUGCUUAUGAAGAGGAUAUUUAACCCUUGGAUUCUAUAUAAUUUUUCAGAAAUCAGUUAUAUCACACCACUCAGUCAUUAGUUGCACAUUUGUUCCUUUUGGAAAGUUACGUCAAUCAUAGAAGAACAAAAGUUGACAAGGACAUUAUUAAACAAAGUACUAUCAAUGACAAGGCAUGGGAUUAUAAAUUUCAGCCAUUCUCAUUUCUCUAAUAUCUUCUGCACAGUGUAGAUAAUUAAGCAUCUGGGCAAAAAUUUAGCCACAAGAACAUAUGUGACAAUCUUGUUAAUAAUGACAACAAAAUGGAGACAUGUCUGCUGAGCUUUAGAUGCCUUUCUCUACCUGUUUGCUACACAUCUCCAUCUCGAUGUUUGAAGGCAUUCUCAAAGUUAUGUCCAAAUUAGAAAUUAUUCUGGGGCUUAGCAUAGUGUCUAGCAUGUAGAAAAUGCUUAAAUGUCUGUCUGAUGAAUGAAUCAAUACAUGAAUUUUUUCCAAUAAAUACACUUCACUUCCUAUAAUCCAUUGUGCUGAACUGUUUUUCAUCUACCCUGUUACACAAACCAGAAACCUCAUCAUCCUAGAGUCCACCUUUUUAUUAUUUUGAUUUGUCAACAAAUUCUCCACUUUAGAAACACCAUAGUCCCUACUCUCCAAACCAUGUCCAUUGUCCUAGUUCACCUCAUCACCAUCUCUCACUUGGAUUAUUACCACAACUUCUUCCUUGGCCUCCUGCUUCUAAUCUCAGACUUCUUUUACUUUCCUAACAGUAAGCUUUCUAAAACUUAAGAGCCAAUUAACCUACUCUUCUCAGAAUCCCACAAUGGCUCACCAUACACAGGGCAAAAUUUGAAACCACCUAGCAUGGCUAGUAAGACCCUUCAUAUCACUUGACCACUGCCUAUCUGCUUAGCAUCACUUCUCAUCUCUCCACACAUCCUGACCACACCUAUUCCACUUCACCCUGCAGCAAUACUGAACUUACCACAACCCUCUCAAUUUCUACUGGUCUUUCAUACUUCUGUACUUCUGUACAUGAUAUCAAAACUGCCUGUUUAGAAUGCCCUCUCUCUCUACUUUGAGAGGCUGACAGUGAAUUUUCACUUUUUCUUCAAUAUUCAUCUUAAGAGAAAGUCCUUUGGAAAUAUUAAAGAGGAGGUCAGGUGAGGACAGAAUCAGCUAUACGUCUCUGUUGCAUACCUAUGUAUAAAGGCACUGGUUGAAGCUAUCAGAGUGGAAUAAUUCCCGGGAUGGCAUGCAAUGAGAGACAGGCAGCGAGCCAUAUUAGAAUGCAGAGGAAGAAAAAACUCAAGAAAACUAAGAGGAGCACAGACAGAUGCAAUCUUCCAGAAGCCAAGAAAAAGUAGAGUUUUAAACAGAAUGAGGUAACAAAAACUGUCCUCUACAGCAGAGAAAUGGAGUAAGAUGAUGAUUUCAAAGUAUUCAUUAGCUUUGGUAUUUAAAAGGCUUUCACGUAAUCUUAGAGCAGUUUCAGUGGAAGGUGGGAUCAAAAUCUGACUACAGUGGAUUAGUUGAAGAAGAAAUGAAGUUGACAACUGUAGACUAUACUUUUCUCUCCAGGGCUCGAAAGAAAAAGAUGGAAAAUAAGCCAUUGGGUGGUGACUCGGGGGGUGGAUGCUAUAAAGGGAUUUUUUAAAAAAUAGGAAAUAUUAGUAAGCGCAGAGGACGUGGGAAUUAUGAAAGAUACAGUUCUGAGAUAAAGAUCCCCAAAGAGGCUA